GCCUGAAUAGCUCAGUUGGUAGAGCAGCGCAUUCGUAAUGCGAAGGUCUUCGGUUCGACUCCGGAUUCAGGCA
Molecule: transfer RNA, 73 nt
Filed under: Verrucomicrobiota bacterium
Lineage: Bacteria; Pseudomonadati; Verrucomicrobiota
Description: tRNA-Thr
Rfam family: tRNA
About the family: Transfer RNA (tRNA) molecules are approximately 80 nucleotides in length. Their secondary structure includes four short double-helical elements and three loops (D, anti-codon, and T loops).
Source: RNAcentral